CAGCAGCCGCGGGAAAACGAAGGGUGCAAGCGUUAAUCGGAUUUACUGGGCGUAAAGCGUGCGUAGGCGGCUUCUUAAGUCGGAUGUGAAAUCCCUGAGCUUAACUUAGGAAUUGCAUUCGAUACUGGGAAGCUAGAGUAUGGGAGAGGAUGGUAGAAUUCCAGGUGUAGCGGUGAAAUGCGUAGAGAUCUGGAGGAAUACCGAUGGCGAAGGCAGCCAUCUGGCCUAAUACUGACGCUGAGGUACAAAAGCAUGGGGAGCAAACAGGAUUAGAUACCCCCGUAGUCCCUGUCUCUUAUAC
This 301-nucleotide ribosomal RNA is filed under the name uncultured bacterium. RNAcentral's name for it is "partial 16S ribosomal RNA". It matches the Rfam family "Bacterial small subunit ribosomal RNA", at positions 509 to 807 of the family's 1533-position model. The record is from RNAcentral.